This is a long non-coding RNA of Drosophila pseudoobscura, 460 nucleotides long. RefSeq lists it as uncharacterized. The transcript is spliced from 3 exons. The record is from RefSeq and is a predicted model, not a curated record. NCBI's taxonomy places the organism in Eukaryota, Metazoa, Arthropoda, Insecta, Diptera, Drosophilidae.
CCCACAAAAAUAAGAACAAUGUCAACUUUGAAUUCACACAAAUAAAGGGAACACGCCAAAUCAAACAAUCCCUAACCACAAAGAACCACAGAAAAAAGCUUCUCUAUACAUAAUCUUUACCUCCGUUCAUGUGUUGGAUUGUGCAAUGUUUUCGGCAACUAAGAUAUCACAAUGAUAAGGAGUUAAUUAUCGAAAUUCUUCUUAGAACGUAUCUAUGAAAACGUUCAAAAAUAUAUGGACAAUUUUCCACCAAACCACCCCCUGGAAAAUUAAAUGUGCUCGUCAAGGACAUGCCACCCCCUCCCCCCCAGGACAGAGCACAUCAGCGCCCUCUUCUGGGUGAACAAUGAGACUUCAGGUUGCUGUCCUGACUGAAAGCUGUCACUAAAGCUCAAAGGACAUUUUUGACAUAGUCACAAAGUUGAAACUUACACAGUGCCGAGCUGCCUGCUCCUGCUGU